UGAAGACGACGAGGUAGAUAGGUUGGGGGUGGAAGUGCAGUAAUGCAUGGAGCUGACCAAUACUAAUCGGUCGAGGGCUUAUCCUAAA
RNAcentral lists this ribosomal RNA (88 nucleotides) under Paenibacillus polymyxa. Its description in RNAcentral is "partial 23S ribosomal RNA". It matches the Rfam family "Bacterial large subunit ribosomal RNA", at positions 2839 to 2925 of the family's 2925-position model. Lineage: Bacteria; Bacillati; Bacillota; Bacilli; Caryophanales; Paenibacillaceae. The record is from RNAcentral.